UUGAAGUUAAAAAGGAUUUUUUGUAGUGUUUGAACAAGUUUCCAAAUACGCUCAUGGAUGUUGUAUCUAUCGAAGAAACUUUGCAAUUGCCCCCAUAAAGCUGAUUUUCAGUAGUUAUCUGAUGGUAAUACAAAUGUGAGUCUAAGUCUGUAGAAAUGAGAAAGUAUAGAUAAAAGAUCCAUUGACUCAUUGUCUUAAGGUUUUGGAUAGAGAUUGGUGUCAAUUCCUUACAUGGUUGGACUCAGAUCUCAUCACCUCCCGAAUUCAGCAAAUGAUGGUUCUAAUGCAUGAGCGAGUUGAGAUCCUCUUGAGGAGACAAGGGAUGCAGUGAUUGGUGGCGUUUGGAAGGAAAAGAUGGUGCUUUCCUGAACGAAGGUCGCUUCUUUAUACGUUGCAGAGUUUGCCUGGCGUAGAUGCUAUAAAGAAAAGGUGCAGCUCUCUCCUUGAAUUUGAGAAUGAAAAAGAAAAGAACUCUAAGCAAUAUGAGGAUGAUCAUGAUUGCAGCUAUGUCCCACCACUUUGAAUUAUCAACUUGAAUUCCAAGCAUGGUUUUGAGAAUAAAUUCUCCUUUCAGUUUUGGGUCACCAGGUUCUAAGGGGUCAAACUCCAUUCCAAUCAAGUCAUUCUUGAAAGCCCCCUGCAUUCCCAUAAUCAGUAAGUAAGGCUAAAUUUCACUCCCAGAUAAUUCAGUUCAUAUACCCUUUUGAUCAUGGCCUUUUGAAGGUAACGCCUCUAAAUUUACCUCUAAUCCCCAUGCGCCGUAAUUGAUGUAUGAUAUUGGGUAACGCCAGAAGAAUUUGGGAAUAUCAGGGAGCGGACGGAAAAAGCCAGAAGUCAUCAUCAUAAGACCCUGCACACAUAUACACUGAAAUCAGCAACAACGAUCAUUCAAUUGAAAAUGGGAUUAUAUUAUAUAUAGUAUAUAGUCCUCUUACAAUAUAUCCCGCUCCAAUCGUCAAUCCCAUGAGGAAGUUGGGAACCAGUGAAGCUAUAACCAUCAUGGAGCUCUCCACAACCGCAAUGCAGCCCAGAAGAUCAAGAGUGAUAUACAAAAAGUGUGAAAAUUCUGAACUAGACUUAACCAUAUAAUAGCUUAUAGCCCCCGUAGCUGUGGACAUCACUGCCAAAAACGGAAAGGAAGACAGAAAAUUUGAGAGAAUGUAGACUCCAACGCCAUAAUAACCACCCAUUCUUUCUUUGUAGAAGACCUGCAUCCAGAGGGUAAAAGAAGGGAAGCUCCCAAUGGACAUGAACGUCAUGAAACCUGAGAGAAAACCAGCACAUGAUCCUCUCGCAAAAAUGGCUCUGUAACUCGUUCCAACAUCAUGGAAGAUUAUUCCAACGCACAAAGAUAAGGCGAUAUAG
Molecule: long non-coding RNA, 1365 nt
Organism: Vigna angularis (adzuki bean)
Lineage: Eukaryota; Viridiplantae; Streptophyta; Magnoliopsida; Fabales; Fabaceae
Exons: 3
Source: RefSeq, a predicted model, not a curated record